Molecule: ribosomal RNA, 464 nt
Filed under: uncultured Comamonadaceae bacterium
Lineage: Bacteria; Pseudomonadati; Pseudomonadota; Betaproteobacteria; Burkholderiales; Comamonadaceae
Description: partial 16S ribosomal RNA
Rfam family: Bacterial small subunit ribosomal RNA
Source: RNAcentral
CCUACGGGAGGCAGCAGUGGGGAAUUUUGGACAAUGGGCGCAAGCCUGAUCCAGCCAUUCCGCGUGCAGGAUGAAGGCCUUCGGGUUGUAAACUGCUUUUGUACGGAACGAAAAGGCUCUGGCUAAUACCUGGGGCUCAUGACGGUACCGUAAGAAUAAGCACCGGCUAACUACGUGCCAGCAGCCGCGGUAAUACGUAGGGUGCGAGCGUUAAUCGGAAUUACUGGGCGUAAAGCGUGCGCAGGCGGUUAUGUAAGACAGAGGUGAAAUCCCCGGGCUCAACCUGGGAACUGCCUUUGUGACUGCAUGACUAGAGUACGGCAGAGGGGGAUGGAAUUCCGCGUGUAGCAGUGAAAUGCGUAGAUAUCAGGAAGAACACCGGUAGCGAAGGCGGCUUCCUGGUCCGUAACUGACGCUGAGGCGCGAAAGCGUGGGGAGCAAACAGGAUUAGAUACCCCGGUAGU